This 65-nucleotide transfer RNA is filed under the name Passerina paleacea. RNAcentral's name for it is "transfer RNA-Leu (UAA)". The record is from RNAcentral. Lineage: Eukaryota; Viridiplantae; Streptophyta; Magnoliopsida; Malvales; Thymelaeaceae.
AAAAUCCGUCGACUUUUAAAAUCGUGAGGGUUCAGUCCCUGGGUUCAAGGUCCCCCUUAUCCCCA